AGGACGAACGCUGGCGGCGUGCUUAACACAUGCAAGUCGAGCGGAAAGGCCCUUCGGGGUACUCGAGCGGCGAACGGGUGAGUAACACGUGAGUAAUCUGCCCCUAGCUCUGGGAUAGCUCCGGGAAAACCGGGAUUAAUACCGGAUACGACCACCUUAGACAUCUUUUGUGGUGGAAAGAAUUUCGGCUAGGGAUGAGCUCGCGGCCUAUCAGCUUGCUGGUGGGUAACGCCUACCAAGGCGACG
RNAcentral lists this ribosomal RNA (246 nucleotides) under uncultured bacterium. RNAcentral describes it as "partial small subunit ribosomal RNA". It matches the Rfam family "Bacterial small subunit ribosomal RNA", at positions 26 to 278 of the family's 1533-position model. The record is from RNAcentral.